GAUGAACGCUGGCGGCGUGCCUAACACAUGCAAGUCGAACGAAGCUCCCCGAAUUGAGUUUUCGGACAAGAAGAAGGGAUGACUUAGUGGCGGACGGGUGAGUAACGCGUGAGCAACCUGCCUCGGAGUGGGGGACAACAGUUGGAAACGACUGCUAAUACCGCAUGAUGUGCAGAGGGGACAUCCCCUUUGUACCAAAGAUUUAUCGCUCUGAGAUGGGCUCACGUCUGAUUAGUUAGUUGGUAGGGUAACGGCCUACCAAGACUGCGAUCAGUAGCCGGACUGAGAGGUCGAACGGCCACAUUGGGACUGAGAUACGGCCCAGACUCCUACGGGAGGCAGCAGUGGGGAAUAUUGGGCAAUGGGCGAAAGCCUGACCCAGCAACGCCGCGUGAAGGAAGAAGGCCUUCGGGUUGUAAACUUCUUUUAUGAGGGACGAAGGAAGUGACGGUACCUCAUGAAUAAGCCACGGCUAACUACGUG
Molecule: ribosomal RNA, 483 nt
Filed under: uncultured organism
Description: bacterial SSU rRNA
Rfam family: Bacterial small subunit ribosomal RNA
Source: RNAcentral